RNA transcript from Musa acuminata AAA Group (dessert banana), 1676 nucleotides. It is a transcript of the gene named dolichyl-diphosphooligosaccharide--protein glycosyltransferase subunit 4A-like, with no coding region annotated. NCBI's taxonomy places the organism in Eukaryota, Viridiplantae, Streptophyta, Magnoliopsida, Zingiberales, Musaceae. The record is from RefSeq and is a predicted model, not a curated record. The transcript has 3 exons.
CGAAUUACUCGUCAAUAGCUUGUAGCAAGUUUCGAACAUUUUUGUCAAUAGCUUGUAACAGACUUCAUUGUAUUUCCAUGAUUUUUUUAUUUUUUUUAAUUUUUUUUAUAUGAAGAUCAAAUAUGAUUGCCAAAUUAAGUUAUUUGCCAUCCAUCGUAUUUUGAGUGCAAUAUAUAUCUCGUGCAUGAGAUGAGAUAUAACCCUAGGUACAUAUUAUUACCCUUCGAGAUGACAAAAGUUUGAAUUCAAAGACGUCAUUCAUCUUUUUUUAUGUCACUACUUAAGUAUUAUUCUUUUUCUCCAACAUGAGAUGCUCGGUCAACGUACGCAGCAGAGAAAAGUUGUUAGACGGUUUCGCUUUAUUCGAAAGAAGAGAAACUAACAAGGCGGCUUGGGGUGAUUGAUAAAGGCAUAAGAAGUCAUAUAAAAAUGGUGUGGAUCCCUUUAUUCAAAUAUUACGAAUCGAAAUCGCAGUUCGGAUCCAAAUCACAGACCCCAUCGUGUUUCGUGAUCCAGCAGGGGAAGUCGAGGCGCGAAACAGGAGCUCUAGGGUUCGAGGGGAGGAGGCGAAGAGAAAAUGGCCCCAAAGAUGAUUGCUUUUGGAAAUAUCCUUGACGGUAAGGGGAGCAAGGAUUGAGGGAAGGUGGAGGAUUCAAGUGGUUAUUUUUUACCACUUCUCUGUUGCUUUGAUUGGACCUGAACUCUUGGGUGGUACAUGAGAGGUCUUUCUACUUGUGGGUGCUAAAACUCUUUCCAUAUGACCAACUCCAGAGCCGUCUCUUGCACUGGCUUGCUGUUUUAUCUUUUGGCUUUUCCAAGUAGAAUAUUGUAAGUAAUUAAGAUGGAUUGCCUAAACUUUAUCUUCUGUUGCAGCUUUUGUUUCAAGUGGAAUCCUUACUGGUUGCAUAUAUUCUGGCAUGUGCUAUUUACAUGGUUACUUGAUAUAUGCAGUGGUUACCGUUCAAUGUUUAUUACAGCGACUGGUAUGCAUUUGUCAUUACCUAUUGGUAGACAAAACUUAUGCUGCUGCCACCUUCGGUUGUUACUAAGAAACCAAAUAGUUUAGAUAAAAGUGAGUCACCCUAAAAAGAAGGUUGCAAGGUGUUUCAACUGUCGAGGAUGAUACUAACCUCACACAAAUAGAAUAUGUUAUAAUUAAUUCUCAUUAAAUGAAACUUCUGAAUACACUUUAGAGUUGCUUAUUUAAGCAUAUUAAUUUUUUGGUUUCCCUUGGUCAUUUGUUCAAAGUGUGAUCGCAAUUGCAGAUUGCUGAAGUUAGCAUGCAUUAUUCUGGCUAAAGCUCACUGAUCGUGUCAUACCUUUGUGUAAUUUUAUUUGCAUCAUGUUUAUGAACUGGGCAAUGAUAUAACUUUUUUUUAAGAUUUCUAUUUUGCAGAUGAUCGAUGAUCAAGAUUUGGGAUUUUUUGCUAAUUUUCUUGGCAUAUUUAUACUUGUUUUGGUAAUUGCGUAUCAUUAUGUGAUGGCCGACCCAAAGUAGGAAGAAACUCAAGCUCGGGAUAGUAGUCUUGUAGAAAGCAAGUAGAACUUACCGGGGGACUAACAUCUAAAUGACGGUCAUCUGUGUUUAUAUUGAUAUGGAUGUAAUACUUUUGAUCCAGGAUCUAGUUAGAAUUUCACAUUUUCUUCAUAAUUGAGGACUUUUGGUAGUAUACUUA